GAUGAACGCUGGCGGCGUGCCUAAUACAUGCAAGUCGAGCGAACGGACGAGAAGCUUGCUUCUCUGAUGUUAGCGGCGGACGGGUGAGUAACACGUGGAUAACUUACCUAUAAGACUGGGAUAACUUCGGGAAACCGGAGCUAAUACCGGAUAAUAUUUUGAACCGCAUGGUUCAAAAGUGAAAGACGGUCUUGCUGUCACUUAUAGAUGGAUCCGCGCUGCAUUAGCUAGUUGGUAAGGUAACGGCUUACCAAGGCAACGAUGCAUAGCCGACCUGAGAGGGUGAUCGGCCACACUGGAACGGAGACACGGUCCAGACUCCUACGGGAGGCAGCAGUAGGGAAUCUUCCGCAAUGGGCGAAAGCCUGACGGAGCAACGCCGCGUGAGUGAUGAAGGUCUUCGGAUCGUAAAACUCUGUUAUUAGGGAAGAACAUAUGUGUAAGUAACUGUGCACAUCUUGACGGUACCUAAUCAGAAAGCCACGGCUAACUACGUG
This 497-nucleotide ribosomal RNA is filed under the name uncultured bacterium. RNAcentral describes it as "partial 16S ribosomal RNA". It matches the Rfam family "Bacterial small subunit ribosomal RNA", at positions 28 to 507 of the family's 1533-position model. The record is from RNAcentral.